CCUACGGGAGGCAGCAGUGGGGAAUAUUGCACAAUGGGGGAAACCCUGAUGCAGCGACGCCGCGUGAAGGAAGAAGUAUUUCGGUAUGUAAACUUCUAUCAGCAGGGAAGAAAAUGACGGUACUUGUCCCAUAACCCCCGGCUAACUCCGUGCCAGCAGCCGCGGUCAUACGUAGGGGGCAAGCGUUAUCCGGAUUUACUGGGUGUAACGGGAGCGUAGGCGGUGCGGCAAGUCAGAAGUGAAAGCCCGGGGCUCAACUCCGGGACUGCUUUUGAAACUGUUGAACUAGAUUGCAGGAGAGGUAAGUAGAAUUCCAAGUGUAGCGGUGAAAUGCGUAGAUAUUAGGAGGAACACCAGUGGCGAAGGCGGCUUACUGGACUGUAAAUGACGCUGAGGCUCGAAAGCGUGGGGAGCAAACAGGAUUAGAUACCCGGGUAGUC
Molecule: ribosomal RNA, 440 nt
Filed under: uncultured bacterium
Lineage: Bacteria
Description: partial 16S ribosomal RNA
Rfam family: Bacterial small subunit ribosomal RNA
Source: RNAcentral